CACCACUCAAGCCUCGCUUGGUAUUGGGCGACGCGGUCCGCCGCGCGCCUCAAAUCGACCGGCUGGGUCUUUCGUCCCCUCAGCGUUGUGGAAACUAUUCGCUAAAGGGUGCCGCGGGAGGCCACGCCGUGAAACAACCCCAUUUCUAA
RNAcentral lists this unclassified non-coding RNA (149 nucleotides) under uncultured Cladosporium. Its description in RNAcentral is "sequence contains ITS2". Lineage: Eukaryota; Fungi; Ascomycota; Dothideomycetes; Cladosporiales; Cladosporiaceae. The record is from RNAcentral.